GUGCUCGAUUCAGCAGCACAUAUACUAAAAGUGAAAUGAUGCAGAGAAGAUUCACAUGGCCCCUGCUCAAGGAUGGCAUGCAAAUUUGUGAAGCGUACCAUAUUUUU
Molecule: small nuclear RNA, 107 nt
Organism: Pan paniscus (pygmy chimpanzee)
Lineage: Eukaryota; Metazoa; Chordata; Mammalia; Primates; Hominidae
Source: Ensembl